This 72-nucleotide transfer RNA is filed under the name Schistosoma japonicum. RNAcentral's name for it is "tRNA-OTHER". The record is from RNAcentral. Lineage: Eukaryota; Metazoa; Platyhelminthes; Trematoda; Strigeidida; Schistosomatidae.
GUCUCACUGGUCCAAUGGCAAAGCGCUCGUUGUGGAGCCAGAGGGUUCUGGGUUCGAUCCCCAACGGGGUCG